Molecule: long non-coding RNA, 424 nt
Organism: Mastomys coucha (southern multimammate mouse)
Lineage: Eukaryota; Metazoa; Chordata; Mammalia; Rodentia; Muridae
Exons: 3
Source: RefSeq, a predicted model, not a curated record
GGGAGGAGGUUGACAGAAGCCACAGAUGUGGCGGGAGGAAGGGGUCUGAGUCAGCGUGUACAGGAGGGCAGUGCUGUUGCAGGGUCCAGGCGUUUUGUGGAUCCUAAAGUAGUGCUGAUUUAUUCUUUCUGGCAUUUUGUCCCUACCUUGCCCUGUGUGAAGGCUAGUAGGCCCAGCACCAGUGAGAUACAGACAGAAGGGGACAGCCUCACAGCACCCAUGGACCAAGAAAAUAGGGAGGCCGGUGCAUGCUUUGCUAUUGUUUGGGGGUUUCUUGAAUCUUAACCAUCUUGGAUCUGUUGAGUUGAGCCUGGACAGUAUCGGAAAGCAAAACAGUGCCACGGGCCCCAGGGCUGCGGCUGCCCACCUGUUGUUGAGUGAAACCUGGUUCCAGUUACAUUCAAAAGCUCCACCCCCACAGAGG